GGCCGGUGCGGGGUGCUAUACUGCAAGUCGAGCGAAUGGAUUAAGAGCUUGCUCUUAUGAAGUUAGCGGCGGACGGGUGAGUAACACGUGGGUAACCUGCCCAUAAGACUGGGAUAACUCCGGGAAACCGGGGCUAAUACCGGAUAACAUUUUGAACCGCAUGGUUCGAAAUUGAAAGGCGGCUUCGGCUGUCACUUAUGGAUGGACCCGCGUCGCAUUAGCUAGUUGGUGAGGUAACGGCUCACCAAGGCAACGAUGCGUAGCCGACCUGAGAGGGUGAUCGGCCACACUGGGACUGAGACACGGCCCAGACUCCUACGGGAGGCAGCAGUAGGGAAUCUUCCGCAAUGGACGAAAGUCUGACGGAGCAACGCCGCGUGAGUGAUGAAGGCUUUCGGGU
Molecule: ribosomal RNA, 400 nt
Filed under: Bacillus anthracis (anthrax bacterium)
Lineage: Bacteria; Bacillati; Bacillota; Bacilli; Caryophanales; Bacillaceae
Description: bacterial SSU rRNA
Rfam family: Bacterial small subunit ribosomal RNA
Source: RNAcentral